RNAcentral lists this ribosomal RNA (387 nucleotides) under Salmonella enterica. RNAcentral's name for it is "partial 23S ribosomal RNA". It matches the Rfam family "Bacterial large subunit ribosomal RNA", at positions 132 to 559 of the family's 2925-position model. The record is from RNAcentral. RNAcentral also lists the same sequence under 2 other names. Lineage: Bacteria; Pseudomonadati; Pseudomonadota; Gammaproteobacteria; Enterobacterales; Enterobacteriaceae.
UGUGAUUCGUCACACUAUCAUUAACUGAAUCCAUAGGUUAAUGAGGCGAACCGGGGGAACUGAAACAUCUAAGUACCCCGAGGAAAAGAAAUCAACCGAGAUUCCCCCAGUAGCGGCGAGCGAACGGGGAGGAGCCCAGAGCCUGAAUCAGCAUGUGUGUUAGUGGAAGCGUCUGGAAAGGCGCGCGAUACAGGGUGACAGCCCCGUACACAAAAGCGCAUGUGCUGUGAGCUCGAUGAGUAGGGCGGGACACGUGGUAUCCUGUCUGAAUAUGGGGGGACCAUCCUCCAAGGCUAAAUACUCCUGACUGACCGAUAGUGAACCAGUACCGUGAGGGAAAGGCGAAAAGAACCCCGGCGAGGGGAGUGAAAAAGAACCUGAAACCGU